UUUCUACAAAAUAAUCGGCUGCUCUUGCAACCCAUGAGAGGAAUCGGCAAUAAACUUGCGAAGCAUGGAUACAUGAAACACAUUAUGUAUCCUGGAUAACUCUGGAGGCAAAACUAACUGAAACGCAAGAGAGCCAACUUGAUCUAAAAACCCAUAAGGACCAAUAAAUCUCGGACCAAGCUUUGCACGUUACUAAAACGUACCACCCCUUUCCAAUGAGACAAUUUCGAAAACACUCAAAAUACUCACUUGAAACUCAUGGUCCUUCCUGUGAACAUCUUUAAAACUCUACUAGCUACUAAGAGAUGCUUUGAGUCUAACUCUGACUCCUUUAACCUUUUCAUCUGAAUCCUGAAUUAUUUUAAAUCUUCUCGAAGACUCUAAGUCCUUCGUUGAACUACCACUAACGUUAACACGUAAGUGAGUUCAGUGAUACCUAUUCCAGAGUACGAGUACCCGUAGGUAUGCACACUCUUUCCUGAGCAAUGGAAAUAGCUAACCCAAAUAAAACGCAUAAAUUUGCUAUCACCAUCGGGCUCAAAUCUCCUAACGUCACGCAACAACCUCGAUAGCACGCUGCUCACAACUCGACAAUGAAGCCCACUUGCUAGGAAACUAAAGUUCACAUAUUCCCACAUGUUCAUAGGGGUCAAAAUUAAGACCCGCUAAUUGAACAGAUUUUUAAAGAUGCAGACACUGCAGAACUGCAACAAUCACUCCUACUACUGAGACACCUCGCAGAGUCUUUCGUGGAGCCAAAGCUCUCGCAAGUCCACAAGAUAACCUUGCUCUGCCUAAAUGACCAGUCCACCAACAUAUGAUAACCUCGAUUGCCGAAAUAACAUUAUGAAAAGAUCAAUACCACGACACUUAGAUCUCUCCACCAAAACUAUUACAUUACCAUUUUAUGCACCACAAACUAGCAACUUAUGGGAAUUUCCAUCUCUCUCCUGAUUCUGCUAUCUCCACUAUUAUUUACCACAAACCAGAAGAUAAUCUGAAGCAUGACUAACACGUGGAAACUGGAUAUUCCUCCUUGCUCGCCAUAAACAAAAAAAAAAACUAAUUAAUGCCCACGAAGAUUGGCACAGUCAAUUCAUGAUGCUAAACUUGACGUUGAAAUCCACAUAAAUAGAACACCUUCCUUAAGCAUUGACAAAAUUUACAUCUCCAGCCAUGCUACUUAUUCGGGUGCAAUCGCGACCCCAAGAGCAAUAAUUAAAAGUACAUGGCUCACUCUAGCCGUUCCAUAAAAAUGAUUCUAAAUACCAAAACCUUUGGACCCGACAAACACACUUCUUUUUCUACCUUUAACAACAAUUAAUCUGAUAGCAGAAGACGAUAUGAAAAUCAGAUAUGCUCAAGUCUCCUACACAUCCCAGGGCCAUGACUUCCCACCAAAAAGAUUCUUCGAAAACCGAGCUUGCAAUAACAUGCGACUAACAAAAGCAAAGACAAAUUUUUAUACAAGACCUCCCAAAUCAUACUUGGAUCAAUGAGUGGUCCCACCACAAUACGAUCCUGAGAAAAGACGCUGAUCAACCUAUCAAAAACUACUACUCUCAAUAUUAAAACUCUUAAUAAACCUUAACUCUAGACGCUUCUUGAGUCAACAGGGGAAAACCCUCUUCCAUAAUGCUACGUCAUGAAAUAUACCUACAACGACACAAACCAUCAAAAUCAACAUCACCAUGCAACUCUUAAACUACCACAUAGGAUUUACAGCAUCAAGACUCAUUGCUUAAAUGAACUCUAGCUCACUUGGGAUCACCACUGGAUUUAUUCCGAAUCCAUGACUACGACACAACUACCAAUUUAUCAUUUACCUCGAAACUUCGACAAAAUAACCAGAAUCUCUACCCUUCAAAUCGAAGCGUUGAAAUCGCAUUCCAUAAUUUCAAGCUCUAAGGAUGCUACCCAAAAACUAAAGUAGGAAUAAUUUAAUAUUCCACACACACCACAACCAAAACUUUAGUCUCCAUCUCACUGAAUUAGCAAUAAGGGAGAACGGAUCCUCCCAUUGUUGUGUCGUAGUUAGUCACCCAUUGCGAAUGAAAUGAUGUCAAAAACCAGCUUCGAUCAAAAAUUUAAGACUUACAUCAACCACCCGGAACGACACUGCUUAAAAAUUACUUUGGACACCCACGCACUCUUGCUCUAAGAUCUAGUGGGUUUUAUUCCACUGCCACCACUUCCACCAACUCCACACAACUGCUAUAGAAUACCUAUGACAACACGAAUAAAUUCACCAGGUGUUGUCGUAAAACUGAAAUGACCACAACCAUUUCGCUCUCACUCCACCAUUACUUUUCAAUUCAAUUUACAUUAUCAUCUUCCAAACACUCAACAAAUCUGGAAACCAAACUUCAACACCUGGAAUUCCGAAAGAAUCCAUACUGGCUCCACGAUUAAAA
This 2414-nucleotide long non-coding RNA is filed under the name Fragaria vesca (wild strawberry). RNAcentral describes it as "long non-coding RNA (FVES_LNC005013)". Lineage: Eukaryota; Viridiplantae; Streptophyta; Magnoliopsida; Rosales; Rosaceae. The record is from RNAcentral.